Molecule: ribosomal RNA, 883 nt
Filed under: Protounguicularia nephromatis
Lineage: Eukaryota; Fungi; Ascomycota; Leotiomycetes; Helotiales; Hyaloscyphaceae
Description: SSU rRNA
Rfam family: Eukaryotic small subunit ribosomal RNA
Source: RNAcentral
AUGCUAAAAACCCCGACUCCGGAAGGGGUGUAUUUAUUAGAUAAAAAACCAAUGCCCUCUGGGGCUCCUGGGUGAUUCAUGAUAACUCGACGAAUCGCAUGGCCUCGCGCCGGCAUGGUUCAUUCAAAUUUCUGCCCUAUCAACUUUCGAUGUUUGGGUCUUGGCCAAACAUGGUGUCGACGGGUGACGGAGAAUUAGGGUUCGAUUCCGGAGAGGGAGCCUGAGAAACGGCUACCACAUCCAAGGAAGGCAGCAGGCGCGCAAAUUACCCAAUCCCGACCCGGGGAGGUAGUGACAAUAAAUACUGAUACAGGGCUCUUUUGGGUCUUGUAAUUGGAAUGAGUACAAUUUAAACCCCUUAACGAGGAACAAUUGGAGGGCAAGUCUGGUGCCAGCAGCCGCGGUAAUUCCAGCUCCAAUAGCGUAUAUUAAAGUUGUUGCAGUUAAAAAGCUCGUAGUUGAACCUCGGGCCUGGCUGGCCGGUCCGCCUCACCGCGUGCACUGGUCCGGCCGGGUCUUUCUGCCUGGGGAACCGCAUGCCCUUCGCUGGGUGUGCUGGGGAAUCAGGACCUUUACUGUGAAAAAAUUAGAGUGUUCAAAGCAGGCCUAUGCUCGAAUACAUUAGCAUGGAAUAAUAAAAUAGGGGUCUAUUUUGUUGGUUUCUAGGACCGCUGAAAUGAUUAAUAGGGAUGGUCGGGGGCGUCGGUAUUCAACUGCUAGAGGUGAAAUUCUUGGAUUUGUUGAAGACCAACUACUGCGAAAGCAUUCGCCAAGGAUGUUUUCAUUAAUCAGGAACGAAAGUUAGGGGAUCGAAGACGAUCAGAUACCGUCGUAGUCUUAACCAUAAACUAUGCCGACUAGGGAUCGGGCGAUGUUACUUUUU